RNAcentral lists this transfer RNA (75 nucleotides) under Mycoplasmatota bacterium. RNAcentral describes it as "Tenericutes bacterium tRNA-Cys". It matches the Rfam family "tRNA". Rfam says of the family: Transfer RNA (tRNA) molecules are approximately 80 nucleotides in length. Their secondary structure includes four short double-helical elements and three loops (D, anti-codon, and T loops). RNAcentral also lists the same sequence under 1 other name. Lineage: Bacteria; Bacillati; Mycoplasmatota. The record is from RNAcentral.
GGUCCCGUAGCCAAGUGGCUAAGGCAUUUGACUGCAACUCAAUGAUCACCGGUUCAAAUCCGGUCGGGACCUCCA